Molecule: ribosomal RNA, 468 nt
Filed under: uncultured bacterium
Lineage: Bacteria
Description: partial 16S ribosomal RNA
Rfam family: Bacterial small subunit ribosomal RNA
Source: RNAcentral
GACGAACGCUGGCGGCGUGCUUAACACAUGCAAGUCGAACGGAAAGGCCCUGCUUUUGUGGGGUGCUCGAGUGGCGAACGGGUGAGUAACACGUGAGUAACCUGCCCUUGACUUUGGGGUAACUUCAGGAAACUGGGGCUAAUACCGGAUAGGAGCUCCUGCUGCAUGGUGGGGGUUGGAAAGUUUCGGCGGUUGGGGAUGGACUCGCGGCUUAUCAGCUUGUUGGUGGGGUAGUGGCUUACCAAGGCUUUGACGGGUAGCCGGCCUGAGAGGGUGACCGGCCACAUUGGGACUGAGAUACGGACCAGACGCCUACGGGAGGCAGCAGUGGGGAAUAUUGCACAAUGGGCGGAAGCCUGAUGCAGCAACGCCGCGUGCGGGAUGACGGCCUUCGGGUUGUAAACCGCUUUCGCCUGUGACGAAGCGUGAGUGACGGUAAUGGGUAAAGAAGCACCGGCUAACUACGUG